CCCGGAGAGUCGAGGGUGUGUGACUGGG
This 28-nucleotide non-coding RNA is filed under the name Cricetulus griseus (Chinese hamster). Lineage: Eukaryota; Metazoa; Chordata; Mammalia; Rodentia; Cricetidae. The record is from RNAcentral.